UAUUGGACAAUGGGCGAAAGCCUGAUCCAGCCAUGCCGCGUGUGUGAAGAAGGCCUUCGGGUUGUAAAGCACUUUCAGCGAGGAAGAACGCCUAGUGGUUAAUACCCAUUAGGAAAGACAUCACUCGCAGAAGAAGCACCGGCUAACUCCGUGCCAGCAGCCGCGGUAAUACGGAGGGUGCAAGCGUUAAUCGGAAUUACUGGGCGUAAAGCGCGCGUAGGUGGCUUGAUAAGCCGGUUGUGAAAGCCCCGGGCUCAACCUGGGAACGGCAUCCGGAACUGUCAAGCUAGAGUGCAGGAGAGGAAGGUAGAAUUCCCGGUGUAGCGGUGAAAUGCGUAGAGAUCGGGAGGAAUACCAGUGGCGAAGGCGGCCUUCUGGACUGACACUGACACUGAGGGCGAAG
This 403-nucleotide ribosomal RNA is filed under the name uncultured bacterium. Its description in RNAcentral is "bacterial SSU rRNA". It matches the Rfam family "Bacterial small subunit ribosomal RNA", at positions 362 to 758 of the family's 1533-position model. The record is from RNAcentral.